UAUGGUAAUUGUGUGCCAGAAGAAGGGGUAAUACGUAUGGAGCAAGCGUUAUCCGGAUUUACUGGGUGUAAAGGGAGUGUAGGUGGCCAGGCAAGUCAGAAGUGAAAGCCCGGGGCUCAACCCCGGGACUGCUUUUGAAACUGCAGGGCUAGAGUGCAGGAGGGGCAAGUGGAAUUCCUAGUGUAGCGGUGAAAUGCGUAGAUAUUAGGAGGAACACCAGUGGCGAAGGCGGCUUGCUGGACUGUAACUGACACUGAGGCUCGAAAGCGUGGGGAGCAAACAGG
This 284-nucleotide ribosomal RNA is filed under the name [Lactobacillus] rogosae. Its description in RNAcentral is "Lactobacillus rogosae partial 16S ribosomal RNA". It matches the Rfam family "Bacterial small subunit ribosomal RNA", at positions 493 to 776 of the family's 1533-position model. Lineage: Bacteria; Bacillati; Bacillota; Clostridia; Lachnospirales; Lachnospiraceae. The record is from RNAcentral.